Molecule: ribosomal RNA, 403 nt
Filed under: uncultured bacterium
Lineage: Bacteria
Description: bacterial SSU rRNA
Rfam family: Bacterial small subunit ribosomal RNA
Source: RNAcentral
GGGGAAUAUUGGGCAAUGGGCGCAAGCCUGACCCAGCAACGCCGCGUGAAGGAAGAAGGCUUUCGGGUUGUAAACUUCUUUUGUCAGGGACGAAGCAAGUGACGGUACCUGACGAAUAAGCCACGGCUAACUACGUGCCAGCAGCCGCGGUAAUACGUAGGUGGCAAGCGUUAUCCGGAUUUACUGGGUGUAAAGGGCGUGUAGGCGGGAAAGCAAGUCAGAUGUGAAAACUAUGGGCUCAACCCAUAGCUUGCAUUUGAAACUGUUUUUCUUGAGUACUGGAGAGGCAGAUGGAAUUCCUAGUGUAGCGGUGAAAUGCGUAGAUAUUAGGAGGAACACCAGUGGCGAAGGCGAUCUGCUGGACAGCAACUGACGCUGUGGCGCGAAAGCGUGGGGAGCAAAC